AGUGGAGGUGAGGGUGUUUGGUUGGAGCUCCCUACGUACCUGAGGCCUUUCAAAGAAUUUGCAGGUGACUGAAGACGGUCAAGUUAUUGGUCCCACUGCAGACAGAAGCACACAACUCUGCUGUCUAUGAAACAUCGGCAUGGUACUCUUGUAAUGGAGGAAGGAUUGACUGAUAUUAGAACAUCUAAGAUGACAGGUCCAGAGAAGGAUUUGCCAAAGGAAUCUGGUGGUAACCAGUCAGGUUACAACCUGUUAAGAAACAGUGCCAGAGGUAGCAGUGAUCAUUAUAUCCAGCUAUGGACAUGAACAGGAAAAUGCUGAAGACGUGUCUGGAUGUUACAUCCAAGAAUUUUUCCUAUGUGAUGGUGGGAGGAAAAGAGGGAAGAGGAAUUCUGUAGCGGUACUGCAUCCACGUGAAGAAAAUAAAGGAUCGGCAAUGAUAUUAUUGGUGACGUUGAAUUAUUUAUGUGGCUGAGCCUGGGGGUUAGACCAGAGGUGACAUGUCCAGGACUCUGUAAGGUGUGACACAAAGAGGUGC
This 538-nucleotide long non-coding RNA is filed under the name Gallus gallus (chicken). Lineage: Eukaryota; Metazoa; Chordata; Aves; Galliformes; Phasianidae. The record is from RNAcentral.